GAUGAACGCUAGCUACAGGCUUAACACAUGCAAGUCGCGGGGCAGCAUUUCCUUAGCUUGCUAAGGAAGAUGGCGACCGGCGCACGGGUGAGUAACGCGUAUCCAACCUGCCCUUGUCCACGGGAUAACCCGGUGAAAAACCGGCCUAAUACCGUAUGAGGUCACAAGCGGACAUCCAACUGUGACGAAAGGUUUAGCGGACAAGGAUGGGGAUGCGUCCGAUUAGCUUGACGGCGGGGUAACGGCCCACCGUGGCUACGAUCGGUAGGGGUUCUGAGAGGAAGGUCCCCCACAUUGGAACUGAGACACGGUCCAAACUCCUACGGGAGGCAGCAGUGAGGAAUAUUGGUCAAUGGGCGAGAGCCUGAACCAGCCAAGUAGCGUGCAGGAUGACGGCCCUAUGGGUUGUAAACUGCUUUUAUAAGGGAAUAAAGUGGGUCACGUGUGACUUUUUGCAUGUACCUUAUGAAUAAGGACCGGCUAAUUCCGUG
Molecule: ribosomal RNA, 491 nt
Filed under: uncultured bacterium
Lineage: Bacteria
Description: bacterial SSU rRNA
Rfam family: Bacterial small subunit ribosomal RNA
Source: RNAcentral